RNAcentral lists this ribosomal RNA (405 nucleotides) under uncultured prokaryote. RNAcentral describes it as "bacterial SSU rRNA". It matches the Rfam family "Bacterial small subunit ribosomal RNA", at positions 355 to 774 of the family's 1533-position model. The record is from RNAcentral.
UGGGGAAUAUUGGGCAAUGGGCGCAAGCCUGACCCAGCAACGCCGCGUGAGGGAAGAAGGUCUUCGGAUUGUAAACCUCUGUCCUUGGGGAAGAAAAAAAUGACGGUACCCAAGGAGGAAGCUCCGGCUAACUACGUGCCAGCAGCCGCGGUAAUACGUAGGGAGCGAGCGUUGUCCGGAAUUACUGGGCGUAAAGGGUGCGUAGGCGGCUUGGCAAGUCAGAUGCGAAAUCCCCGGGCUUAACUCGGGGGGUGCAUUUGAAACUGCCAGGCUUGAGUGCAGGAGAGGAAAGCGGAAUUCCUAGUGUAGCGGUGAAAUGCGUAGAUAUUAGGAAGAACACCAGUGGCGAAGGCGGCUUUCUGGACUGUAACUGACGCUGAGGCACGAAAGCGUGGGGAGCAAACA